This 468-nucleotide ribosomal RNA is filed under the name uncultured bacterium. RNAcentral's name for it is "partial 16S ribosomal RNA". It matches the Rfam family "Bacterial small subunit ribosomal RNA", at positions 28 to 507 of the family's 1533-position model. The record is from RNAcentral.
GACGAACGCUGGCGGCGUGCUUAACACAUGCAAGUCGAACGGAAAGGCCCUGCUUUUGUGGGGUGCUCGAGUGGCGAACGGGUGAGUAACACGUGAGUAACCUGCCCUUGACUUUGGGAUAACUUCAGGAAACUGGGGCUAAUACCGGAUAGGAGCUCCUGCUUCAUGGUGGGGGUUGGAAAGUUUCGGCGGUUGGGGAUGGACUCGCGGCUUAUCAGCUUGUUGGUGGGGUAGUGGCUUACCAAGGCUUUGACGGGUAGCCGGCCUGAGAGGGUGACCGGCCACAUUGGGACUGAGAUACGGCCCAGACUACUACGGGAGGCAGCAGUGGGGAAUAGUGCACAAUGGGCGGAAGCCUGAUGCAGCAAAGCCGCGUGCGGGAUGACGGCCUUCGGGUUGUAAACCGCUUUCGCCUGUGACGAAGCGUGAGUGACGGUAAUGGGUAAAGAAGCACCGGCUAACUACGUG